This 482-nucleotide ribosomal RNA is filed under the name uncultured bacterium. Its description in RNAcentral is "partial 16S ribosomal RNA". It matches the Rfam family "Bacterial small subunit ribosomal RNA", at positions 28 to 523 of the family's 1533-position model. The record is from RNAcentral.
GACGAACGCUGGCGGCGUGCUUAACACAUGCAAGUCGAACGAUGAAGUUCCUUCGGGAAUGGAUUAGUGGCGAACGGGUGAGGAACACGUGAACAAUCUGCCCCUUACACGGGAAUAACUUCGGGAAACCGAAGCUAAUACCCGAUAUUGAAUUCGGUAGGCAUCUACUGAAUUUGAAAUGGUCCGCCGGUAAGGGAUGAGUUCGCGGCCUAUCAGCUUGUUGGUGAGGUAACGGCUCACCAAGGCGACGACGGGUAGCCGGCCUGAGAGGGGGACCGGCCAAACGGGGACUGAGACACGGCCCGGAGUACUACGGGAGGCAGCAGUGGGGAAUAUUGCGCAAGGGACGAACGUCUGACGCAGCAACGCCGCGUGAGGGAUGACGGCCUUCGUGUUGUAAACCUCUUUCGAGCGGGACGAAGCGAAAGUGACGGUACCGAUACAAGAAGCACCGGCUAACUAUGUGCCAGCCGCCGCAGUAA